CUCUGUAUUAUCAGGAUGUGGUGUAUUUGCUCUUGCAUCAAUUGAAAAAGGAUCCUUUGUGGCCGAGUACCAAGGGGAGUUCAUCUCAAGACAUGAGCGGGACAAGAGACAGAAACCCUUUAUAAUUAUCUUUACUAUUUAUCUGGCAUUAUAUGCUCAUAAUAUUUGUGUGUUUUGUUGCAGACACCAACUGUUGAUGUACUAUCUCAACUUUCUCCAGAUUCAGAUGUGAGCGAUAAACCGACUUCAUCCCUUCAACAGAAGCCAACUGUUGAUGUUCCAUCUCAACAUUCUCCAGAUUCAGAUGUGAGCGAUAAACCGACUUCUUCCCUCCAACAGACACCAACUGUUGAUGUUCCAUCUCAACAUUCUCCAGAUUCAGAUACACCAACUGUUGAUGUUCUAUCUCAACAUUCUCCAGAUUCAGAUGUGAGCGAUUAACCGACUUCAUCCCUCCAAAAGAUUCACAGCAGGACAAAGCGCUGGAAGUGGGUAUGUCUCAAGCUUCUUCAACGUGCUCCACUCCAAAGCGAGCUGCAAAGGUGAAGAAGUGGAAGCAGUUGAAUGACACAUGUUGCAUUUUAUAACUGGCAACAAAGUACCAGGUAAAAAAGAUUGUGAAGCCUGCCUCCAUAAAGAACUAGUAGCUCUACAGGACAGAGAUUGGCUUGCCAUCAAGUACUAUGUCCAUAACAGAAUCAUAUCAAAAAAAGGAAAAACAUUUGUUUUUCCACAUCUUCUGUGUUAGUUUGAGUAUGUUACCAGCAAUUAAAAAAGCAAGAUAA
This is a long non-coding RNA of Entelurus aequoreus (snake pipefish), 785 nucleotides long. RefSeq lists it as uncharacterized. The transcript has 6 exons. The record is from RefSeq and is a predicted model, not a curated record. NCBI's taxonomy places the organism in Eukaryota, Metazoa, Chordata, Actinopteri, Syngnathiformes, Syngnathidae.